Molecule: unclassified non-coding RNA, 337 nt
Filed under: soil metagenome
Description: partial contains 5.8S ribosomal RNA, internal transcribed spacer 2, and large subunit ribosomal RNA
Rfam family: 5.8S ribosomal RNA (bases 1-120)
Source: RNAcentral
GAUGAAGAACGCAGCGAAAUGCGAUACGUAGUGUGAAUUGCAGAAUUCAGUGAAUCAUCGAAUCUUUGAACGCACAUUGCGCCCUUUGGUAUUCCAAAGGGCAUGCCUGUUCGAGCGUCAUUUGUACCCUCAAGCUUUGCUUGGUGUUGGGCGUCUUGUCUCCAGUCCGCUGGAGACUCGCCUUAAAGUCAUUGGCAGCCGGCCUACUGGUUUCGGAGCGCGGCUCAAGUCGCACUCUUUUCCAGCCAAGGUCAGUGUCCAACAAGCCUUUUUUCAACUUUUGACCUCGGAUCAGGUAGGGAUACCCGCUGAACUUAAGCAUAUCAAUAAGCGAGGA